GACGAACGCUGGCGGCGUGCUUAACACAUGCAAGUCGACGACGCUACUGAGUAGCAAUAUUUAGUAGUGGAGUGGCGCAAGGGUGAGUAAUGUAUACGUAACCAACCCAUCGGAGACGGAUAACAUUUCGAAAGGGAUGCUAAAACGGCAUGAAGCCACGAUUUUGCAUGAGAUUGUGGUUAAAGAACCGGUAACAGGUUGCCGAUGGCUGGGCGUAUAUCCGAUUAGCUAGUUGGUAGUGUAAUGGACUACCAAGGCGACGAUCGGUAGCUGGUCUGAGAGGAUGAUCAGCCACACUGGCACUGAGACACGGGCCAGACUCCUACGGGAGGCAGCAGUGGGGAAUAUUGGGCAAUGCCCGCAAGGGUGACCCAGCAACGCCGCGUGGAGGAUGAAGGCCGUAAGGUUGUAAACUCUGACAAGCAGGGAAGAACGGCUAUGGUAAAAGGCCAUAGAAUGACGGUACCUGCCUGAAGCCCCGGCUAACUACGU
This 492-nucleotide ribosomal RNA is filed under the name uncultured bacterium. RNAcentral describes it as "partial 16S ribosomal RNA". It matches the Rfam family "Bacterial small subunit ribosomal RNA", at positions 28 to 506 of the family's 1533-position model. The record is from RNAcentral.